Molecule: ribosomal RNA, 467 nt
Filed under: uncultured bacterium
Lineage: Bacteria
Description: bacterial SSU rRNA
Rfam family: Bacterial small subunit ribosomal RNA
Source: RNAcentral
GGGCCCGCACAAGCGGCGGAGCAUGUGGAUUAAUUCGAUGCAACGCGAAGAACCUUACCUGGGUUUGACAUGCACAGGACGCCGGCAGAGAUGUCGGUUCCCUUGUGGCCUGUGUGCAGGUGGUGCAUGGCUGUCGUCAGCUCGUGUCGUGAGAUGUUGGGUUAAGUCCCGCAACGAGCGCAACCCUUGUCUCAUGUUGCCAGCGCGUUAUGGCGGGGACUCGUGAGAGACUGCCGGGGUCAACUCGGAGGAAGGUGGGGAUGACGUCAAGUCAUCAUGCCCCUUAUGUCCAGGGCUUCACACAUGCUACAAUGGCCGGUACAAAGGGCUGCGAUGCCGUGAGGUGGAGCGAAUCCUUGGUAAAGCCGGUCUCAGUUCGGAUCGGGGUCUGCAACUCGACCCCGUGAAGUCGGAGUCGCUAGUAAUCGCAGAUCAGCAACGCUGCGGUGAAUACGUUCCCGGGCCUU